UAACACCAUUAAGAUAUGAUGAUACAAUAAUCAGUAAUGAUAUAAUAAGCUGUAAUAUUAUAGUAAACCCUAAAAGUGUACUAACAAUUUUCAUUUUGAACAUCCUAUGUGAUAAAGUCCUUAGCUCCUUUAUUUUCUGAGAUUUGUCAGGGUACUUAUAAUUGAAUGCGAAGGUUGCAGUCCUUAGAUAUUGAUUUAUGAGUUAACAGCAUGACGCCUGCAGGAGGUGGGAGGAUUCCUCUGGUUUACAUUCCAAAAAGGAACUGAAAUAAAUGAAGGACAGAUGGGAGAGUUGGUUUUUCUGAAAAUAUUGUUUUACUAUCACUAAAUAUAUAAACAAGAUAAAAUUGGCAAAAAGGUAUUUCUUAAAUAGUAUUACCAAUAGAUUGUCUUACUGUGUACAUGCAUUUAUCUAUUGAAAUUCCAAAAUGUUGCAAAAACAUUAGCCAAACAUUGAAUCUGUCUAUGUAUCUAUUUCAUUUCUAUAGUGUAUAAUAUACAGUAUCAAUUAUCAGAACGUGCUCGUUGUCUUGCAAUCAUUGUAAAAGUCCAAAUAUUUUGUGUAGAUACAAAUACACAGCUCCCAACAUUAUUAUCAUAUGGAUAUAGGGGGGCACUUUAAUUUUAGGGGUGUGGGUGAGGGUGUGGCCGGGGAUGGGGCUGUUCUGAGACAUUUUAGGUGACUUUCUUAUAACAAUUUAUAGAACUAAAAUGUAAUUGAUAACAAGAACAAUGCAUCUUAUUUACACAGACUGAUUUCUAAAACACAUUUAUUGUAGUUUAAAGACACAUUACUGGGAGUAUUAUUGGUGUGGAGCUCUGUUAUACAAACACAUAUUACUGGGAGUAUUAUUGCUGUGGAGCUCUGUUAUACACACAGACAUAUUACUGGGAGUAUUAUUGCUGUGGAGCUCUGUUAUACACUCAGGCACAUUACUGGGCGUAUUAUUGCCACCAUGGCCAAAACCAAAGAGCUGUCUAAGGAUAUCAGGGACAAGAUUGUAGACCUACACAGGGCUGGAAUGGGCUACAAGAUCAUCGCCAAGCAGCUUGGUGAGAAGGUGACAACAGUUGGUGUGAUUAUUCGCAAAUGGAAGAAACACAAAAUAAUUGUUUCCCUCGGUCUGGUGCUCCAUGCAAGAUCUCACCUUGUGGAGUUUCAAUGAUCAUGAGAAGGGGAGGAAUCACUCUAGAACUACACGGGAGGAUCUUGUUAAUGAUCUCAAGGCAGCUGGGACCAUAGUCACCAAGAAAAC
Molecule: non-coding RNA, 1256 nt
Organism: Pelobates cultripes (western spadefoot toad)
Lineage: Eukaryota; Metazoa; Chordata; Amphibia; Anura; Pelobatidae
Source: the annotation of a GenBank genome assembly